ACGCUGGCGGCAGGCCUAACACAUGCAAGUCGAGCGGUAGAGAGAAGCUUGCUUCUCUUGAGAGCGGCGGACGGGUGAGUAAUGCCUAGGAAUCUGCCUGGUAGUGGGGGAUAACGUUCGGAAACGGACGCUAAUACCGCAUACGUCCUACGGGAGAAAGCAGGGGACCUUCGGGCCUUGCGCUAUCAGAUGAGCCUAGGUCGGAUUAGCUAGUUGGUGAGGUAAUGGCUCACCAAGGCGACGAUCCGUAACUGGUCUGAGAGGAUGAUCAGUCACACUGGAACUGAGACACGGUCCAGACUCCUACGGGAGGCAGCAGUGGGGAAUAUUGGACAAUGAGCGAAAGCCUGAUCCAGCCAUGCCGCGUGUGUGAAGAAGGUCUUCGGAUUGUAAAGCACUUUAAGUUGGGAGGAAGGGCAUUAACCUAAUACGUUAGUGCUUUGACGUUACCGACAGAAUAAGCACCGGCUAACUCUGUGCCAGCAGCCGCGGUAAUACAGAGGGUGCAAGCGUUAAUCGGAAUUACUGGGCGUAAAGCGCGCGUAGGUGGUUUGUUUAGUUGGAUGUGAAAUCCCCGGGCUCAACCUGGGAACUGCAUUCAAAACUGACUGACUAGAGUAUGGUAGAGGGUGGUGGAAUUUCCUGUGUAGCGGUGAAAUGCGUAGAUAUAGGAAGGAACACCAGUGGCGAAGGCGACCACCUGGACUAAUACUGACACUGAGGUGCGAAAGCGUGGGGAGCAAAC
This 745-nucleotide ribosomal RNA is filed under the name uncultured bacterium. RNAcentral's name for it is "bacterial SSU rRNA". It matches the Rfam family "Bacterial small subunit ribosomal RNA", at positions 33 to 773 of the family's 1533-position model. The record is from RNAcentral.